AGUUAACCCACUGUUCCUAGGCCAGUUAACCCACUGUUCCUAGACCAGUUAACCCACUGUUCCUAGACCAGUUAACCCACUGUUCCUAGACCAGUUAACCCACUGUUCCUAGGCCAGUUAACCCACUGUUACUAGACCAGUUAACCCACUGUUCCUAGACCAGUUAACCCACUGUUCCUAGACCAGUUAACCCACUGUUCCCAGUUAACCCACUGUUCCUAGACCAGUUAACCCACUGUUCCUAGACCAGUUAACCCACUGUUCCUAGACCAGUUAACCCACUGUUCCUAGACCAGUUAACCCUA
Long non-coding RNA from Oncorhynchus tshawytscha (Chinook salmon), 305 nucleotides. Lineage: Eukaryota; Metazoa; Chordata; Actinopteri; Salmoniformes; Salmonidae. The record is from Ensembl.